This 468-nucleotide long non-coding RNA is filed under the name Equus caballus (horse). Its description in RNAcentral is "lncRNA (ENSECAG00000050949.1)". The record is from RNAcentral. Lineage: Eukaryota; Metazoa; Chordata; Mammalia; Perissodactyla; Equidae.
CUCAGGAAUAGCUCCAGCCGCUUCCUUGAUCUGCGUGCAAUUAGUUCUCCCUUGCUAGCCCGCUGAUCUACUCUAGCAGCGCUUUCCUGUUCCACGUGGUACACCAACUGUGGCAAAUCCAGCCCCGGUUCUCAAUUUCUUUCUGAGCGUUCUUUUAAGUCUAGCAUUCCCCCACCCGUGGCCCUCAGGUUGACGCGAGCAGCACGAGUCCCACUUGAAGGUGGCGUCUUCUGAAAAGACGUGAAUGUCAACAAGGCCUAGGGCAACACAAAAGCUUUUAUGACCUACACACAGCGGUUAAACUGUCAAUGAAAGAGAAGAAAAGAAAAUCAGUGCCCACUCAGAGGGAAACAGCCAUGGGAACUUUGACUUCUGGACUGAGCUGAAGAUUGUGUAAAAUGUGGAACACAAAGUUAGGAUACAAAAUGUAUUAAAAAUAGAUGUUAUGAAUCAGCAAUAAAGUUUACC